GACGAACGCUGGCGGCGUGCUUAACACAUGCAAGUCGAACGGCAAGGCCCUGCUUUUGUGGGGUGCUCGAGUGGCGAACGGGUGAGUAACACGUGAGUAACCUGCCCUUGACUUUGGGAUAACUUCAGGAAACUGGGGCUAAUACCGGAUAGGAGCCCCUGCUGCAUGGUGGGGGUUGGAAAGUUUCGGCGGUUGGGGAUGGACUCGCGGCUUAUCAGCUUGUUGGUGGGGUAGUGGCUUACCAAGGCUUUGACGGGUAGCCGGCCUGAGAGGGUGACCGGCCACAUUGGGACUGCGGUACGGCCCAGACUCCUACGUGAGGCAGCAGUGGGAAAUAUUGCACAAUGGGCGGAAGCCUGAGGCAGCAACGCCGCGUGCGGGAUGACGGCCUUCGGGUUGUAAACCGCUUUCGCCUGUGACGAAGCGUGAGUGACGGUAAUGAGUAAAGAAGCACCGGCUAACUACGUG
Molecule: ribosomal RNA, 468 nt
Filed under: uncultured bacterium
Lineage: Bacteria
Description: partial 16S ribosomal RNA
Rfam family: Bacterial small subunit ribosomal RNA
Source: RNAcentral